GACGAACGCUGGCGGCGUGCUUAACACAUGCAAGUCGAACGGAAAGGCCCUGCUUUUGUGGGGUGCUCGAGUGGCGAACGGGUGAGUAACACGUGAGUAACCUGCCCUUGACUUUGGGAUAACUUCAGGAAACUGGGGCUAAUACCGGAUAGGAGCUCCUGCUGCAUGGUGGGGGUUGGAAAGUUUCGGCGGUUGGGGAUGGACUCGCGGCUUAUCAGCUUGUUGGUGGGGUAGUGGCUUACCAAGGCUUUGACGGGUAGCCGGCCUGAGAGGGUGACCGGCCACAUUGGGACUGAGAUACGGCCCAGACUCCUACGGGGGGCAGCAGGGGGGAAUAUUGCACAAUGGGCGGAAGCCUGAGGCAGCAACGCCGCGUGCGGGAUGACGUCCUUCGGGUUGUAAACCGCUUUCGCCUGUGACGAAGCGUGAGUGACGGUAAUGGGUAAAGAAGCACCGGCUAACUACGUG
RNAcentral lists this ribosomal RNA (468 nucleotides) under uncultured bacterium. Its description in RNAcentral is "partial 16S ribosomal RNA". It matches the Rfam family "Bacterial small subunit ribosomal RNA", at positions 28 to 507 of the family's 1533-position model. The record is from RNAcentral.